Long non-coding RNA from Mytilus trossulus (common blue mussel), 1023 nucleotides. RefSeq lists it as uncharacterized. Lineage: Eukaryota; Metazoa; Mollusca; Bivalvia; Mytilida; Mytilidae. The transcript is spliced from 2 exons. The record is from RefSeq and is a predicted model, not a curated record.
CCUGACUACAAACUAUCAUUAUGUGUAUUCCGUGUGGAAAGAGGUCGGGUCAAUUUCGAGUGUUAUCUGACAUCUAAAGAUUCUUUAAUUAGUUCAGACGUUGAUAUAACAAUGAAAAGUCGACUGAACAUGAUUAAUAUUGCAUCUUCUAUAAUUCAAAGCGGAAUUCGGUUUAUGAACGAGAAACCGUAAAAGCGUUUCUAGUUAUGUAUGUUGUCUACGUAUUAUCCUGGUUCCCCGUACUACGUUCCGGGUAUUAGCUAUUUGAUAUAUGUGAUGUGUAAUAUUACGAUCGGGUACCAGCCAAUCUACGUGUGUAUGUGUAUAUGAUUUCCCGCCAAAAUGGCCGAUUUACAGCUAAAAAAAUAGUCCAUAAACGUUCCGUAUAAUGAUAUGCAAAUUCAUGAUUAAUCGUAACUUUUUUUUAUCUUUGUAUAAUAAAUAUAACAAAAUGGAAACCACAAAAUUGAAAAUAACAUUAUUUUACGAGGAUUUCUCAUAUUUUUCUCACUUCCGGCGCAGUAAUACGUAUGUUUUGAAGAAGCUCGAAGGAUUUGUCAAAGUGAAUUGAGAAGGAAACGGAUAGAUAUACGUCCUUGCUAUCAGGGCACAAACCCACUUUAAAGAGACUUGUCUACUGCCAUACCCAUCCUAUUUUCAUGCUCCAUUUGCAAGCAAGAGACUGAAUGGUUUGCAAAAUUAAAAAUCAGGACGGUGUCCAAUUAAAACAAAAGAACUAAACUGGAUGAAUAUUGUAGGAGAAAUCUAGAGGAAAGUUUUGAUUUGUGAAAUUGGUUUUUCUGAAAAGUCAUUCAUCCUAGCCUGCAGAAAGGAACUAUAACUGUCCACCACCAACUGACGAGCUAAUGUUGAGCUUCACAUAUGGAAUUACUCAAAUACCAUCAAUGUCUAUGUUUUCAGCACAGAUUUCACAAGUUAUGACAAAGCUGUGCUUUUUUUUAUACCUGUUAAAGAGUUGUAUACUAAAUUUAAUUUUUUUAUCAAUAAAUAUAUAUUGUGUCA